GACGAACGCUGGCGGCGUGCUUAACACAUGCAAGUCGAACGGAAAGGCCCUGCUUUUGUGGGGUUCUCGAUUGCCGAACGGGUGAGUAACACGUGAGUAACCGGCCCUUGUCUUUGGGGUAACUUCAGGAAACUGGGGCUACUACCGGAUAGGAGCUCCCGCAGCAUGGUGGGGGUUGGAAAGUUUCGGCGGUCGGGGUUGGACGGGCGGCUUACCAGCUUGCUGGUGGGGUAGGGGUUGACCAAGGCUUUGACGGGUCGGCGGCCGGAGAGGGGGACCGGCCACAUGGGGACUGAGAUACGGACCAGAGUGGUACGGGAGGCAGCAGGGGGGAGUAUUGCACAAUGGGCGGGAGCCUGAUGCGGCAGCGCCGCGUGCGGGAUGACGGCCUUCGGGUUGUAAACCGCUGUAGCCUGUGACGAAGCGGGAGUGACGGUAAUGGGUAAAGAAGCACCGGCUAACUACGUG
Molecule: ribosomal RNA, 468 nt
Filed under: uncultured bacterium
Lineage: Bacteria
Description: partial 16S ribosomal RNA
Rfam family: Bacterial small subunit ribosomal RNA
Source: RNAcentral